Molecule: long non-coding RNA, 1034 nt
Filed under: Phascolarctos cinereus (koala)
Lineage: Eukaryota; Metazoa; Chordata; Mammalia; Diprotodontia; Phascolarctidae
Description: lncRNA (ENSPCIG00000031177.1)
Source: RNAcentral
AUGUUCUCAGAGAGUGUGUCUCCGUCCACAGGUAUCACAUUCCCUCCAUGUUCUGAGCCAGAAGCAGCUUCAACAGAGGGCAAUCCUGCAGGAAUGGGAGUAUUCUCUGAGAAACUAUCUCCUACAGCAGGUAUCACAUUCCCUCCAUGUUCUGAGACAGAAGCAGCUUCAACAGAGGGCAAUCCUGCAGGAAUGGGAGUGUUCUCAGGGACACUAUCUCCUACAGCAGGUAUUGUUUCUUCUCUGUGUUUUGUGAUCAUGUUUGCUUCCACAGAGGGCAAGCUCAUAGUAUCCAGAAUGUUCUCAGAGAGUGUGUCUCCUUCCACAGGUAUCGCAUUCCCUUCAUGUUCUGAGACAGAAGCAGCUUCAACAGAGGGCAAUCCUGCAGGAAUGGGAGUAUUCUCUGAGAGACUAUCUCCUACAGCAGGUAUCACAUUCCCUCCAUGUUCUGAGCCAGAAGCAGCUUCAACAGAGGGCGAUCCUGCAGGAAUGGGAGUACUCUUGGAGAGACUCUCUCCUACAGCAGGUAUUGUGUCUUCUCCAUGUUUUGUGAUAAUGUUUGAUUCUAGAAAGAACAAGCCUGUAGUAUCCAGAAUGUUCUCAGAGAGUGUGUCUCCUUCCACAGGUAUCGCAUUCCCUCCAUGUUCUAAGACAGAAGCUGCUUUGACAGAGGGCGAUACUGCAGGAAUGGGAGUACUCUCAGAGAGACUCUCUCCUACAGCAGGUAUUGCAUUCCACCCAUGCUCUGAGGCAGAAGCUGCUUUGAUAGAAAGCAGUACUGCAGGAAUGGGAGUAUUCUCUGAGAGACUCUCUCCUACAGCAGGUAUCUAUGUUUUGUGAUCAUGUUUGAUUCCACAGAGAGCAAGUGAACAGUAUCCAGAAUGUUCUCAGAGAGUGUGUCUCUUUCCACAGGUAUUGCAUUCCACCCAUCCUCUGAGACAGAAGCUGCUUUGACAGAGGGCGAUAUUGCAGGAAUGGGAGUACUCUUGGAGAGACUCUCUCCUACAGCAGGUAUCUAUGUUUUGUGAUCAUGU